Long non-coding RNA from Dreissena polymorpha, 391 nucleotides. RefSeq lists it as uncharacterized. The transcript is spliced from 3 exons. NCBI's taxonomy places the organism in Eukaryota, Metazoa, Mollusca, Bivalvia, Myida, Dreissenidae. The record is from RefSeq and is a predicted model, not a curated record.
CAUGGCGUUGCAAGGCGAUUCUCUACAAAUAGAGAUAUGAAAAUAAUAAAUAUCAUGUUCAACAAGGUGCCUGAACCACGUGACUUUUUUGGCUAUGUGUGGGACAAUCGGAUGUAAACAAAACGUCGCUUCAGAAUGCCAUUUGUUUGCGAACAGUGUGGCAGAGAGGUCAAAACACGGUCGGGGAUCUCCUAACACAAAGCCACCCACGCACGGACAGGAAAAUAGGAGAUUAAAGUAUUUUUGGAAGCACCUUCAAGAGAAGUACUGAUAUCUUGAUCAAUGAAAAGUUGUCAUAUACAAACAUGUAUAGUAAAUGUUCCAAAGUUUAAAUGACUGUUUGUUUUAUUACCAGAUGGUGCAAGUAUUGCAGGGAAAGAAAACAAUCAAA